GACCUUGUAGUGAAAUUCAUGAUGAGUUGCAAGCUCAUUGAUGCACGUUGACAGUGCCGAGGUCU
Molecule: transfer RNA, 65 nt
Filed under: Erpornis zantholeuca
Lineage: Eukaryota; Metazoa; Chordata; Aves; Passeriformes; Timaliidae
Description: tRNA-Cys
Source: RNAcentral